CGCAUCUGUGCAUGCAGCAUAUCAAUAAGCGGAGGAAAAGAAACUAACAAGGAUUCCCCUAGUAACGGCGAGUGAAGCGGGAAGAGCUCAAAUUUGAAAUCUUAAAGGGUUUCCCUUUACGAAUUGUAGUUUAAAGAAGUGUUUUCUGUUGAGGUUUUGGUAAAAGUUCUUUGGAAUAGGACAUCAUAGAGGGUGAGAAUCCCGUAUUUGACCUUUACUUUCAACUUUGUGAUACACUUUCAAAGAGUCGGAUCGUUUGGGAAUGCAGUCCAAAAUGGGUGGUAAAUUUCAUCUAAAGCUAAAUAUUGGCGAGAGACCGAUAGCGAACAAGUACCGUGAGGGAAAGAUGAAAAGAACUUUGAAAAGAGGGUUAAACAGUACGUGAAAUUGUCAAAAGGGAAGCGUUUGACACCAGUGUUGUUUUUCUGAAAAUCAAUUAAAGAACUGUUUAUGCUAAGCUGUUUAGACUUUAUCAGCUAACUGUUUAGUUUUGAGCUUUUCUUUAAUGCACUUUUCAGUUAACAAGUCAACAUCAAUUUCUUUUGCUGUAAAAAGCUUGAGGAAGGUGGCUUGAGAUUCGUCUUAAGUGUUUAUAGCCUCUUGCCUAUGCAGUCGGAGAGAUUGAGGUCUGCAGCGUAGAUCCUUCGGGGCUAAAUGCAUUUGUGCUAAGUUAUAGCAUUUUAUAGACAACUUGUUGACUAUGAUUUGUCUUGUAGCUUACUCGCUUAUGUUAUUUUACCUACGCUUAGGAUGUUGAGCGCAUGUCUCUCUCU
RNAcentral lists this ribosomal RNA (773 nucleotides) under uncultured Neocallimastigales. RNAcentral describes it as "partial large subunit ribosomal RNA". It matches the Rfam family "Eukaryotic large subunit ribosomal RNA", at positions 26 to 616 of the family's 3401-position model. The record is from RNAcentral. Lineage: Eukaryota; Fungi; Neocallimastigomycota; Neocallimastigomycetes; Neocallimastigales.